This is a long non-coding RNA of Populus euphratica (Euphrates poplar), 1097 nucleotides long. RefSeq lists it as uncharacterized. The transcript has 3 exons. Lineage: Eukaryota; Viridiplantae; Streptophyta; Magnoliopsida; Malpighiales; Salicaceae. The record is from RefSeq and is a predicted model, not a curated record.
UUAUCUCUUGGUCAAGGUUGCCUGCAAACCUUUCCGCGAGAUUCCUAGGAAGAGAAUGGGUAUGUUCUCUAAUUCUUCCCAGAAAAGGGGGACACAUAGCACUAAUUAUUAUAUCGUAACUUUUACUUGCUUUCUCUAAUUCAUCAAGCAGAGACGUAGGAGCAGACAAAUAAUCUGUCUGCUAGGCGUGAAGGAAAAGCUUCAAGGAGAGACGAUUUUCACAGAAGUAGAGAUUUAUUGGCAUCAAAAUUCAGGCCUGUCGCUCAAAGUUUUCCCUCAGAAGGAGCGUGCUAUGCAACUAGCGAAGAAAAGGAAAACGGUGAUAAAGUUGCAUUAAGAAAUCAAGUUCUUGACUGAAUCUCUAACAGCUUCCGGCCUUAAAAUUUUGUAAUCCAAUAUGGCUUCUUCCUUUAACAGCACAAAUUGUUGGAUGUACAGUGUCUUCUUGAUUUUCAGGGGCCAAGAGACCCACAUUACUUUUACUGCCCAUCUAUAUCAUGCUCUGUGCAACAAAGGAAUUAAUGCUUUCAUCGAUGAAAAGCUUGAGAGGGGAGAACACAUUACUUCUCAACUCAACCAAAUUAUUGAAGACUCGAGAAUCUCCCUUGUCAAAUUCUCUGAAAACUAUGCAAGAUCUAUUAUUGUCUGGAUGAGCUGGUGAAGAUACUUGAAUGUAAAGAAUCAAAGGGGCAAGUUGUUUUGCCUGUGUUUUAUAAUGUGGAUCCUUCAGAUGUGGAAGAACAAAAGGGUAGUUUUGGAGAAUCCCUGGAUUUCCAUGAAACUUAUUUGGGGAUUAAUGGAGAGCAGCUCAAGCAAUGGAGAGAAGCUCUAACAAAAGCAGCUCAAUUGUCAGGGUGGCAUUUAGACAGGGGGAAUGAGGCUGUUUUUAUUCGGAAAAUUGUUGAAGAAGUAUGGACACAAUUGAACCACACGUCCUUACAUGUUGCGGCAUACCAAGUUGGAUUGGAUCAACGUAUUGAAGAACUCAUUCAUAUGCUAAAUAUUGGGUCAAGUAAUGUGUGUAUGGUAUGUUGGGAAUUCCGAUCGGUGAUAUUCUGAUAUUUGCUUAUAGGAGGGCUAAGCACACUGACACAGUA